RNAcentral lists this long non-coding RNA (1893 nucleotides) under Felis catus (domestic cat). RNAcentral describes it as "lncRNA (ENSFCAG00000044707.2)". Lineage: Eukaryota; Metazoa; Chordata; Mammalia; Carnivora; Felidae. The record is from RNAcentral.
GAAGGUGGAGAGAGGGAGACAGGAGGGAGGGGGGAGUGGGGAGGGAGAGAGGAGGAGGAGAAGGAGAGUUUCCCACUCACGGGUUUUUCGGCCACCCCACACUGGGUGAGCUGGGAAGAUAGGGCAGCGAUGAGUCACAAGGACAGGGUUCUGGUUUAUAAAGCGCCUUCUCUACCUUAUUUCAGAUCCACAAAACAGGAUGGGGGGUUUCUCAGCGGUGCAGGUGUCACCAGCCCCGUUCUACAGACAAGGAAACCGAGGCUCAGAGAGGAGGACCUUGCCCAAGAAGCCACGAGGCAGAAGGCACAGCUGGAGGCCAGAACACGGGGGCUGCUAGAGCUUCUGCUUCAGAGGGAGAAAGGUUGUGGGGCUCACUCGACCCCUCUCUGAGCCAGAAUCGAGAAAUCCCGGAGGAGGCAGAGACCUCGGGGCCCCUGGGCCGUCUGAAUGCCUCUUUCCGAGGGUCCCAGCCCUGCCUCAAGCAUCCCCACUCGCCCCGGCGGCCAGAACCGCGCCUGCAUUCAAAGUCCUGCGGUGGAGGAACUUCUGAGCAGGCUGGUUCGGCAGCUCAGUGGUGGCGUCCGGACCAGGGUCUCUCCCUGUAUGUCCUCUGUCACCCUCAGUACGGAUCACUCCCCUCAUGCCCCAAAAUGGCUGCAGCAGAUCCAGUCAUCACAUCCCACCAGGACAAACUGCAGCCCAAGAUGAGCCAGCCAUAUCUUCCUCGUGUUUCUCUCUUUUUCAAGAGCAAACCAAGAUUCCCCAUAACCCCCCACUGGAGCCCCUUUCACACCUCACUGGUUUCAGUUGGGUCACACGCGAGGGGCACAGGACAGCCAUUGACUGUCUCAGACCAAGGGUCAGCAAAUCUGGUCCCAAGUCCGCCUGUGUAAAUAAAGAUUUAUUGGUACGCAGCCACACCAUUUUUUUUUAACGUUUAUUUAUUUUUAAGAGAAAGAGAGACAGAGCGUGAGCGGGGGAGGGGCGGAGAAAGAGGGAGACGCGGAAUCCGAAGCAGGUUCCGGGCUCCGAGCUGUCGGCACAGAGCCCGACGCGGGGCUCGAACCCACGAACCGCGAGAUCGUGGCCAGAAGUGAACUCAGAGGCUUAACUGACUGAGCCACCCAGGCGCCCACACACCCAUUUUUUUCACAUAUGACUGAGUUCGCGCUACAACGACAGAGCUGAGCGGUUGCAUCUGGUCCGCGAAGCCCGGAAGAUUCACUGUCUGACUCCACGGAAAAUCAGUUUGCUGACUCCUGGCUACAUUAAUUGGGAUUCACCCCUGUGCUGGGCUGAGUCACUGUCCCUGAGGGAUGAACACUGAACAAAACAAUAGUCUGUGAGUGAGACAGAAGUGGAUGGCGGCCGGGUCACCGUUAAGUCGGCCUCAAGUACUUUGCUACUCGAUGCACGGUCCCUAGACCAGCGGCGGGGAGCCAGGCUCAAACCCCACCGCCGCGCUCCUGAACCAGAGCUCGCACUUGACAAGGUCCCCAGGACUCUGUGACAAGCCCUCGCCCUGCAGACAGGGGAAGGUGUGGCCGAGCUCAAGCCCUGACGGUGACCUUGACCAGCUGUGUGGCUGUGGCAGGUCAUGGCCCCCCUCGAGGCCCUUGGUGCCCUCACCUGCUGGACGUCGUGUGUUCACAUCCUCGGGCUGAGUUAACAACCCCUCCCCCACCCCACCCCCACCCCCACCCCACCAAGCUGGGUGGCUUAGAGCCCAGUUCGGGAGGUCCGAAGUCUAAAGUCAAGGUGUGGGCAAGGCCAUGCUCCCUCCGAGGCUGCAGGGGAGGGUCCUUCCUUACCUCUUCCAGACUGGGGUGGCCCCAGGUGGCCCCUUCUUUAUUUUUUAAGUUUAUUUAUCUUGAGAGAGAGACAGAGAGGGUG